RNAcentral lists this long non-coding RNA (3468 nucleotides) under Heterocephalus glaber (naked mole-rat). RNAcentral's name for it is "lncRNA (ENSHGLG00100047301.1)". The record is from RNAcentral. Lineage: Eukaryota; Metazoa; Chordata; Mammalia; Rodentia; Bathyergidae.
GUUGAUCGAGGCCCGCGGGGAAGAGCCAGGGCUGCGGGGACAGUCGGCCCGCGUGUACCGCCGGAGGGACCGGGACCCCGGUGUGCGCGCCCCGCUCCGGGACAGGGGCUGUGCCCCCAACGGGCGCCCACGGACCCCUUUCUAGGCAGGCUCAGUCCCGAACUCGCAAACGCGCGAGGCCUACCGGAUCCCAGUGAGUUUUGCCACCUUAAAAAGUGUAUGCAGGUUUAAUAUCUGCUAUGGAGUUGUUUCUAAAUAUUCCUGGAUUCUUGGAAGGAAAAAAGCCACAAGACUGAAAAAAAUGAGUGAAGCAUUGGUUUGAGUGUGUAGGGGAAAAAAGGUAAUCUUUUAAAAAUAUAUCGAUAAGCAGAUGUGCCAAAGAGCAGAUACUUUAAAAUAAUUCAUGUUUUUCAAAAUGUGUGAUACACGUUUUAAUGGCAGGUUCCAAAUUAAUGUUGCACUCAGGUUAAAUUUGGACUGAUUUGCAUUUCUUAGAGGGCUGGGAGAUCUUGGUUAGUGAGGAAGGUGUUUCAUGCCUUUGAAAUGUAUCUAAUAGCAAAAAGUUGGGCCAAGAUUAAAAUUGAUGUCAAAAUAUUUUCCUGGAGGAAAACUCGUGGUGAUCAUAACUAGGUUAAGUUCCCAUAAAAAUCUGUCGUUUUUAUUCUUGUGUGACUCUUUCCUAAUAUACCACAAACUCAAAGGAACUUUGUCCUAAAACCAGCUGUAGCAAGUAGCUCUAAUCUAGGAGACAGCUCUCCAAUCUAAAUUCAUCCUGAUGUAUAAAAUGAAAAUGCUGAAAUAAUUAUAUGAUUUUUUUCUUUUUUCUUUUUUUUUUUUUGGUUUUUUAAGGCAGGGUCUCCCUUUGUAGUUGAGCCUGGGCCUGAACUCACUAUGUAGCUCGAGCUAUCUUCCUGCCUCAGCCUCCCAAGUACUGGGAUUACAGGUGUGCACUACCAUACCCGGCUAAUCUUUUCUUACCUUUUUGGUACAGGGGAUCAAACUCAGGACCUUGUGCUUUCAAGGCAGGCAGUGGCACCACUGAGCUAAAUCCCCGGCCCAAAUCUUUCUUAUUUUUAAUGGGAGGUGGGUAGUAGAGUUGUGGUCAUUUUGGGAAGCAGCCAACAGCAAACUAAAGUAUGCUGGAUGCAAAGAGAUAAACAGUAUUAAAAAUUAACUCCACUAUUUCUCUGGGGUCUCCAAAAAAUUUAACUCCACAACUGAAAGCAGAUAAACAGCGCUUCAUGCAAAGGCACUCAGCAGUAACAUUGGAUCUAGGUCCAUGGUAUUUAUUGAAAUGAAAGCUUACCCCCAAAAUCUUCAAUAAAAAGUUAAGAAACCUAUGAUUUUUUUGAUCUCAGAAAAAUUUCUUACUAUGAAACAACAUUUUAAAAAAAUAUAACAGCUUCAUUGAGCUAUAAUUUACAUACUACCAGAAAUUUCACCCUUUUAAAAUGUAGUAUAAAUUUAACAAUUUGUAGUCUAGUUUAACGAUUUGUUAAAGUGUAUACGUAAGUAUUUUAUUAUAUUCAUGGAUACUUAGUCACCAUAAUCCAAUUUUAGUCAUUUUGUGAUUCCCAAAGAAACAUACCUGCUAGGAGCCCCUUUGCCAAAUAUCAGUGUCUACUCCUGAACCCUCAGUUUUAUUUCACUAACCUACAUCCCAUCCUUAGCCUUGAUAACUGCAGGUUUUCGUUUGGAAAUCUGCAAGUCUGAGCCUUCCAAAUUCUUUUCUGAGAUUAUUUUGGUUAUUACAGACCCUUGCUUUUCCAAGGACAUAACAUCUUACAUCACAGCUAGAGACACAAUGUUUAUUUUACAUUUAGUAUGUAAAUAUUGACUUUUAAUAUACAUUAUGCUUCUGUGACGUUAGUCUUUUUUUUGUUUUUUGUACUGGAGAUCAAACUCAGGACCUUGGGCUUGCAAGGCAGGCACAGUGCCACUGAGCUAAGUCCCCAGCCUAUGAAACCAAUCUAAUUGACAUAGUGAACUAGAAAUAUCAAUGCUCUUUUUUCCCGUGUCACCCAACUGUAUCUUCAUUUACACAGGUAUUAUUAGACAUAACAUGUCCACAAAUGUAAAGUUCGAUGUAUUAAUAACAUUAGAUUUAAAUCUAUAUAUUGUAUGACAUUCCUGUCGAUGGUAUUCAAGAACUUUUUCAGUAUAGCUAUCCAAGAAAAUAAAGGAAAUGAUAUCUAUCCUCAAAAGGAAACGAGUUUUACUCAGUUUAAUUUUAAAUAACCACUAUACACCUAACCCGCUGUGACCAUUAAUCGAGAUACAGUACAAACCCUUCUUUGCAAAUAAUGUAGCUCACAAAAAGUGGUCCACAAAAUUUUGCUUCUGUUCACAAACUCCCUAUCUGCUGAUGAACACAACCACAGGCGUCUCCCCCACACAAACACAAAUGCAGCCAUCUUACCCCAAAAUCAUAAAACAAAUUCAGUUCGUAAACUGAGGUGGAUUAAGAGAUGCCUAGCAGAUUAAUAAACACUUACGGGUGUCCCUGUGGGGUGUUUCCAGAGAUGAUUGGCAGGUAGGCCAGCAAACAGGUGGGAAGAUCCACUUCGAUUAUGGGUGGCAUCAACCAAUAGGCUUGCAGCCUGGAUGGACUCCAAGGGAAAAAGUAGGAGCCUGGCCUGGUGGAAAAGCUCUGCCCCGCGUUUUCUGCUGGGCCUGUGGACAUCAGACUCCGCUUUCCAGCUUUCCGACGAAGACUUACACCAGGGACUCUCCAGGGAGCUUCCGGGCCUUUGGUGCUGCACCCUUGAUGCCUCUUGUUCCGCGGCUUCCAGCCUCUUGGGCAGAGCAGCUCCUGCAUGGUCAGUCUCUGCAGCGCCACUGUGGACACUCCCACCUCUGAUCCUGUGACCCUUCUGAAUAAAUCCCCUGCACAACUUCAUAUAGCACAGAUUCUCUUCCUGUAGAGCACCCUGGCCAUUGCACCCCUGCUCACUAGAAAAAAGUCUAUCAUCAGUCCUCUAAGAAAACACCAGUGAGGCCGAAUCAGCAGACCAUACAUUCCUAGGCAUGAUCACCUGAGUAACUGAACUGGUCUGGGGAGGUGAUUCUGGCUCAUCCUUGCUGGGCUUUCAACCCGCCUUUUGUUGUUUUGCUAAGUCAGCAUCUCACCUGCCUGUUGCCCAGGCUGAUCGUGAGCUCACGUGAUCCUGCCUCAGCCUCCCUGAACCUGGGACUCCAUAUAGGUAUCCAUUACCAGUCCUGGCUUGAACCUACCUUUUAAACAUUUUGGUAAUAUUUUUCAAUUUUUAUUUGUAUUUAAAAUUAUUGUGGCACUCAAAACAUUUCCAGUUUAUUAAUCAGCUUUCAUGAAAAUGUUAGGUUUUGAGAAUGACUUACAAUUCGUAUUUUUCUAAUGGGGCCAGUUGCUGGUGGAGGUAGGAGGUGUUAGGGAUUGAACCCAGGGCCUUGUGCAUGUUAGGCAAACUACCACUGAGCCACAACCCUAGC